UGCUCAGCAGCUAUAUAAGUUUGAAUAGCGUAUCUUUGUGUGUAUAUAUAUUUUUAACUGUAAAUAACUAUAUGCGUGUGUGUAUCAUGUGGAACUGUAACAAUUGUACUGUGUUGUAAAACUGUUAUGUGAACUAUGUGUGUUUGAUGUGUAACUGUAAAUAUUGUGCCAUUCUGUUGAAUGACUUUCGUUUCAAAGGACCACUGGAAAUAUUAGGACAAAGGGGGGUUAUUACUGACAUGGUUAAAUGACAGUAACACCUCAAGUUAUAAGUAAAUCAAUGGAGAUAUCAUGAUAUCUGCGGGACAGUUUCUGACAUGAUUAAAUGACAGUAACUUCAUUCACAGUUUAAGGAAAUCAUAGUGGGACAAAGAGG
Molecule: long non-coding RNA, 376 nt
Filed under: Mytilus galloprovincialis (Mediterranean mussel)
Lineage: Eukaryota; Metazoa; Mollusca; Bivalvia; Mytilida; Mytilidae
Source: RNAcentral